Molecule: microRNA precursor, 100 nt
Filed under: Marmota monax (woodchuck)
Lineage: Eukaryota; Metazoa; Chordata; Mammalia; Rodentia; Sciuridae
Source: RNAcentral
AGUAGAAUAGCUGGGUCAAAUGGUGAUUCCAUUCCAAGUUUUCCAAGGAAUCCUACUACUUUCCAGAUUGGCUGCACCAAUUUGCAGUCCCACCAGCAAU